AGCGCCAGGCCUGGCCAGGAAUCCGGGCAAGGGCGCGGGCAGCUGUCCCUUCCGUGAACCUCUAGCCUCCCGCGGCGAGGAGAGCUGCAGGGCAGGAGUGCACGGCCCGCAGGCGUAAGCAAGCUCUCUGUUUCUUGCCAAUCACAAGUGAGAAAAGCAAGUAGUCCCAAGAGUUUCUGGAAGCCACCUUGUGACACUUCAGAGGAGGCAGAGCCAAGAGACUAGAAGAACAUUGGUCCUCUGUAACAGCUGCUGGAUCGAGCCUUGCCUGAAGCUAUUCCUAGUUCUAGACUCUUUGCCUAUAGAUCAAUGACCUCACAAACCCUUUUUCGAAUAAAGAAGAUAAUUUCUUUUUUUUGCAAGGCAAAGCUACGCCAGGGGCUGGCAGUGUUCAGCUAAGUGAUAAGAGGACUGAGUAACUGCGAAUCACCGUUUGACAAGCACUCAAUCUCUCAAUCAAGCAAUGCCCUUUAAACAAUUAAUACAAUGUUUGUUUUUUGUUUUUUUUUUGGCUGCACUGCACGGCAUGUGGGAUCUUAGUUCCUGGACCAGGGAUCCAACCUGUGCCCCCUGCAGUGGAAGUUCAGAAUCCUAACCACUGGACCGCCAGAGAAGUCCCAAUACAAAGUAUUUCUUAACUGAUUAAAAUACAGAAAUUGAAACAUAACCCAGUACUGCAUUUAAAGACAUGAAUCCCCUGGGAAAACUCCUCAAGCCCUUGUUGGUUCAUCUGAGGGGGUUAAGAGUUUGAAUCCCAACUUCACCACCUCCUGGCCCUGCCACCUUGGGUAACUUGCUUGACAUCUCUGUGCCGCAUUUUUCUUCAUCUAUAAAAUGGGGAAAGCAAUAAGAGAAGGUUCUGUAGGGCCUGAAGUUUCUGCAGUUUGUCGGGGGGGGGGGGAAUCUUAAAAAUUACAAAUGUAAAGUGAAAUGAUAGACUAAACUCCCUGAAGUAAAAUGGAAUGGGGAUGGAUGUAAAAUGAAAAGAUUUUUCAUGAAAAAGGUUUUGGCUGAAGGUUCAAUAUAAUCCCAUGUUAAGAUGGCUGCCCCCAAACUAAUGUGAUCUCAGGCUGCAUCUUUGGCGGUAUAGAUUGAGGAUGAGGGAGGUGAUAGCUGGAAGGUUGGGUUCAAUUCUGGUUGCCAUACCUUUGAGGGGACAGGGAGAGACCAGAGGCCAAUUUGUGGAGGGCAAAGGAUAGUGAGGAACUGGGGAUCCUGACUUCAGAGAAGAGAGACUCAGGGGGCAGAGACGGGAGCACCAAUAACCCUGCCUGCUCCAAGGGCAGAACGCGGAGAUGACAAGGCACUGAGAACCAACUCUGACAGAACUGUCCCACAGGGAAAAGGAUUGUGUUCAGAGGUAGUGAGCAUCCUAUCACUGGUGGUAUGCAAGAAGAAUUAGGAUUCCUGCUUCGAGCUCUCAGUUUCAGCAAAAAUACUAGACCUUACUGAUAAAACAUCCUUGUUGGCUAUAUAUACACAUAUUGUAGUCAACAAGUAUGUAGUCCAUAUUUCCCCUAUUUUAAGAUGUACUUUAAGAAAUGAAUAUUAC
This is a long non-coding RNA of Eubalaena glacialis (North Atlantic right whale), 1552 nucleotides long. RefSeq lists it as uncharacterized. The transcript is spliced from 4 exons. NCBI's taxonomy places the organism in Eukaryota, Metazoa, Chordata, Mammalia, Artiodactyla, Balaenidae. The record is from RefSeq and is a predicted model, not a curated record.